UGUGUGUGUGCGCGCUGGUGUGUGUGUUUGUGUGUGUUUGUGUUGUGUGAGUGUGAAGAGCUGCGCGCCGGUCGUCAGCUGAUCCUUCUCGGUGCGCGCUAUCGCUCACCUCAGCUCAAGACAAGCUUUAGGCUCCAGCCGGGCGAGCCGUUUACCGUUCAGUCUUCUUUAGCUAGUUAACGCUAUAUCGGCAGAGCCAGAAACCGGCUUCAGCUUCUUUUUCUACCACAGAGAGAGAGACCGGGAGCGAGGCAGCCCGGCGGUACCUGAAGACGGAGAGAGCGAGAUAGGAGAGAAAAUGUCGCGUCCAGGAAAGCCAGUACUGGUGGUGUUGGGAGUGCUGGUGCUGCACACUGUAGUGUUUGCACAGAACGCGGGUUUUGUGAAGUCUCCCCUAUCUGAGACUAAACUGACUGGUGACACGUUUGAGCUAUACUGUGAUGUAAUUGGAACCCCCACCCCUGAGGUCCAGUGGUGGUAUGCAGAAGUGGACAGUGUUAAUGGCUUCAUCCAGCUGUGGGAUGGUGCACGUGGCCAGCGCGUUUCCAUAAACACUGCAUAUGGAUCCAAUGGUGUUAGUGUGCUUGCUGUUGUGCGUGUCAUCACGGGAGAUUCUGGGAUUUAUGAGUGCCGAGCCAGUAACAACCCGCAACGCAAUGAUCUUCACCAAAAUCCAUCAACUGUCUGGAUACGAGCCCAGGCAACAGUUACCGUUCUGCAGAAGCCAUUAAUUAAUGUGACUGAUCACAUCACCCUUCCCACGGAUACCAAUCUGCCACAAGUCACGCUGCAGUGUAACCUGACUACUGUAUCGUACAAUCAUCGCUGGAGCUACUGGACCAAGAAUGGAGAGGAAAUCCCGACCACACGGACUGAGCAGAAGAACAUUGAAUACAAAAUCAACAAGCCAAGGGCAGAGGACGCCGGGGAAUACAUGUGUGUUUAUACGUUUGAGCUUGCGCCUUUAGCCAAUGCCAGCAUUGAGGUGAAAUCUGCUCCAGACAUCACAGGACAUAAGCGCAGUGAGAAUAAGAAUGAGGGAGAACGUGCUGUCCUCUACUGCAAGUCCGUGGGCUACCCUCACCCUCUGUGGACCUGGCGCAAGUUAGGCGAGGGUGCCUCCUUUGACAUUGACAAUUCCUCUGGCCGCUUUUUUAUCAGCAACAAGGAUAACUACACAGAGUUGUCCAUUAUUAACCUGGAUAUUGAAUCUGACCCUGGGGAGUACGAGUGCAGCGCCAACAACAUGAUCGGAAACUCUACCAUGACCUCAGUGCUCCGUGUUCGAAGUCACCUGGCCCCCCUGUGGCCCUUGCUGGGGGUCCUAGCUGAAAUCAUUGUUUUGGUCCUCAUCAUUGUUAUCUAUGAGAAACGCAAGAAGCCUGAUGAGGUGCCUGAUGUGAGAGAACCUGCAUGAUCUUUGAGUCUGAAUUUGCUGUUCAUCCAAACAUUUCCACUACAUUCACCCAUAUAACAAUCUGCAUUAUACUCUCUUCCUGGCUUGAGUCUAAUAACUAGUGUUGGAUUAUUUUUUUCUUUGAAUAAAAUAGAGUGCUUCCCUCACUGUUACUAGUUUGACUUCAAACUGACCUCAUGGAAAAUUUCCCUUUUUUGUUAUUUCAUUUAUGUUUACAUAAGCAUGAUAUAUCUAGAUUCUUAGAAUAACAACAUUAUCAGUGUAUUUGAGUGUCAUAACAUGCAUUUGCUGUAAAACAACCAACAAAUACAUUUAUUCAGCUGAUAAUGCAACCCUGUCAUCUUUUGAAUGACAGCAAAAAACAUUAUUUGUUUUUUGUCUUUUAAUAGGAUUGUGACUUUUUGGUUUUACUAACAUGUAGCCCGCUGUGGAUCCAUACUGUAGAUUGUGGUGUGACAUAAUGCAUGAUAAUGCACUACAUAAGAAUGUGUCUGACGUACAAGUUUUACACUAACAUGCUUAAUGUUUUACUUCCUAAUCUGCUUAAGAUGAUGAACCAGCUGGCCCAAUGAAAACUAAUUCCACUAACAACCACAAAGACAAAAACCUACGUCAGAGGAACACAAACUGAGCUGUCCGAGAGUACAAUGAUGACAUUCAUAUCAUGACCAUAUGAACGUAACAUGGAGUUUUUUAUUUAGGAAAAAGUAUCUGGACUAAGAGAGAAGAUCUGUGAGAAGAAGUGCAUACGACCACUCGAGGCAUGCCUUAUAAGUUUGACGUGAAGAGGAUGUCCGACAAGAAUGAAUCAUGACUAUAAAUGCCGUGAAUAUUACAAAUAUUUUAUUGCAUGAUUGUGUUGCUUUUUAUUUAUUUUUCAUUCAUAAUGAUCUUUUGUUUUCAUGUCAACAAAUAGUGCAUGCAAGAUAUUAAUCUGCUAUUUGAUACAGGUAGGAGAUUUGGUUUGUGUGUUUUAGAGUGACUUCAUGUAGAUAACAUUUAUAUUUCAAGCAAAUGUUCUUUACACUUUGCAGCGUGUGCAAAUCUACCACUAUGUUUUUGGUAUGACAGUUUUUGUACAGUUUAUCAUUUCACUGCAUACCCUUUGGUAAGGUGGCUUAUGGUUUUCUUUUUAUUGUUGUUAUUAUUAUUAUUAUUAUUAUUAUUAUUAUUAUUAUUGAUUUAUGUUCUAGGCUUCAAUGACAGAUAAGGGCUUUUCAGUGUCCUUUGUUUAAUUUGUACAUAUAUUGUACAUUUAUUUAUUUCUGUAUGUAUCAUGUAUCUGGAGAUAUCCAUAGUUAUCUGAAUGUUCUUCAUUCUGAUGCACUUAAGUGUUCAGAUGUAAUUGCAAAUCAGUAAUGCCAUUUUCUUCUGAAUUCUAAACCUUAUCUAUCUAUGACUCAGCUUUCUAUGUAUGCAUUCUAUACAGCAUGGCUUAUAUCCUAUGCAAUAUUUGUUCAUAUAUAAAUAUAAAUAUAUAGUAGAUAAACAUUUUUUACAAUUGGCUUUUGGUUGCGUAUUUAAAGAUUUAAUAUUAUAGGUUUGCCAUUAAUAGCGAAAUGCUCUGUUCAAACCAUCAACCAAUGACACCUGACCAUGUCCUGACACUCAUUGCUCUACUACUCCAUCUGCAUGAGCUCCCUGCCUGUGCAGAGGUAUAACUGUGCAGAAAAAAUAUCAAAGUGGGUCAUACAGGACAUCCAUAUCAUUUUUAAGAAAUAAAAAUUCCAAAGUGA
Molecule: RNA transcript, 3153 nt
Organism: Astyanax mexicanus (Mexican tetra)
Lineage: Eukaryota; Metazoa; Chordata; Actinopteri; Characiformes; Acestrorhamphidae
Gene: nptna
Gene name: neuroplastin a
Exons: 9
Source: RefSeq, a predicted model, not a curated record